RNAcentral lists this ribosomal RNA (586 nucleotides) under uncultured bacterium. RNAcentral's name for it is "partial 16S ribosomal RNA". It matches the Rfam family "Bacterial small subunit ribosomal RNA", at positions 355 to 1375 of the family's 1533-position model. The record is from RNAcentral.
UGGGGAAUUUUGGACAAUGGGCGAAAGCCUGAUCCAGCAAUGCCGCGUGUGUGAAGAAGGCCUUCGGGUUGUAAAGCACUUUUGUCCGGAAAGAAAUCCUUGGCUCUAAUACAGUCGGGGGAUGACGGUACCGGAAGAAUAAGCACCGGCUAACUACGUGCCAGCAGCCGCGGUAAUACGUAGGGUGCAAGCGUUAAUCGGAAUUACUGGGCGUAAAGCGUGCGCAGGCGGUUUGCUAAGACCGAUGUGAAAUCCCCGGGCUCAACCUGGGAACUGCAUUGGUGACUGGCAGGCUAGAGUAUGGCAGAGGGGGGUAGAAUUCCACGUGUAGCAGUGAAAUGCGUAGAGAUGUGGAGGAAUACCGAUGGCGAAGGCAGCCCCCUGGGCCAAGUACUGACGCUCAUGCACGAAAGCGUGGGGAGCAAACAGGAUUAGAUACCCUGGUAGUCCACGCCCUAAACGAUGUCAACUAGUUGUUGGGGAUUCAUUUCCUUAGUAACGUAGCUAACGCGUGAAGUUGACCGCCUGGGGAGUACGGUCGCAAGAUUAAAACUUAAAGGAAUUGACGGGGUCAUAGCUGUUUCCU